ACAUCCUCUUUUCUUUUGAGUCUUUGUUUAUACAUUGACUUUGGCAUGUGUCUCUAACCUCCUACACAUUUUUUCUAUCGAGAUACACAAUGCUUCUUGA
Lontra canadensis (Northern American river otter) is the source of this 100-nucleotide long non-coding RNA. RefSeq lists it as uncharacterized. The record is from RefSeq and is a predicted model, not a curated record. Lineage: Eukaryota; Metazoa; Chordata; Mammalia; Carnivora; Mustelidae. The transcript has 3 exons.